CCCUUAGAUGUCCUGGGCCGCACGCGCGCUACACUGAACGGAUCAGCGCGUUUUCCCUUCCCGAGAGGGACGGGUAACCUGCUGAACCCCGUUCGUGGUAGGGAUCGGGGCUUGCAAUUAUUCCCCGUGAACCAGGAAUGCCCAGUAAGUGCAAGUCAUAAGCUUGCGUUGAUUACGUCCCUGCCCUUUGUACACACCGCCCGUCGCUACUACCGAUUGGACGUUUUAGUGAGGAUUUUGGACUGAGCCAAUGGUGGUUCACACCACUGUUGUGCAUGGAAAGAUCUCCAAACUUGAGCGUUUAGAGGAAGUAAAAGUCGUAACA
RNAcentral lists this ribosomal RNA (325 nucleotides) under uncultured eukaryote. RNAcentral describes it as "partial 18S ribosomal RNA". It matches the Rfam family "Eukaryotic small subunit ribosomal RNA", at positions 1470 to 1796 of the family's 1831-position model. The record is from RNAcentral.